GGAGCGAGAACAUGGCGUAUGGCGGCGUGCGAGGCGAUUGUUUUCGGCGGUAAUUAUCGUCAUAUCUUUGUACCGGCGACGUUAUGCGACUGUGUUCGUGUUGUGAAGUGAUCUGGCCGCGUCGGUGAACGCUCUCGGUGAUGUCAGUGAUGUUCAAAUCCACCGUUGUUACCGGAAAUUGCAAAAAAGCAGUGCAACUUCGACAACUCGUGUGAGUACGACGGCCACACGGGCGAUCAGCGGCGGCGGGCCGCCAUGUGCGCUGGAUCGGCGGGCCCAGGAGUGCGUGCUGUAGAGCUGCGAACCUGUGCCUAUUUGGAAUAAAGUGGGACCUCAACAAUAAUAAGAACGCCACCCAUGAAAGCAGAACCCCGGGCUCUCCAUUGGAACUUUAGAGUGGACCACCGCACCGGUAAGCGAAAAUCAGGCCAAAAAUGGCUGUUCACUGCAGUGCGGAAAUAUAUGCUUAUGAUGAAGCACACGAAGAAAAAGCUCAUAUUUUGCCAGCUCAAAAGUGGUGCGGGGCUCAGAAAGAUACAAGUGUUUACAAUAUUUCUUGCACGCGGAGAACAUUGAAGCACUUACACGAGCUGUAAUAUCACUAGAGAUAGACACACAUUCAAGAGCGUCUCACUAAUUUCUGCUGAUUUCAGAACAGUGGUAAGUCUCUGAGUUUAGGCCAGUGUAAAUGCAAGUACAACUGAUUUCCAGUAAGUGUAAGGGACAUAAAUGAGUGCCCCUGAGAGCCAGCUGACAAUGUGGGCCUAUUAAUAAUUACCUGCAAGUGGGAGGAAAUAUGACUGUGAAAUAAACCAGAAGCCCAAGCACAUUGAGUUGAUUUCGAAGAGGCCAAGUAUAUGUGAAAUGUGUUUGUACAUAACGUGAAGAAUGCAACUGAAUGUAUGUUUCUCUCUUUAGUUGCUUGCCAGAGCAUUAUGUGUUUGCGUCUAUUGUCAUGGCUUGAUUACUUUGUUUACACUGUGUAUGCACUCAUUAUAUUCAGAUUAAUUAGGGAUGGACUUUAGUGCUAACAAUGCCAGUGAAAUUUCAAAUACAAUGCUGUAAAUUCAAAGGUCAGACACAUUCGCAUGUCGUUCACAAUCUCUUAUGUGUUAUUCACAUGUGAAGUGUGUGAUAUGGAAUGUUCAGCUUUCUGUAGUAAAUCAUGGACACCUAGUUUUAUAAUGCUGACACGUGCUCUUGCAGAAAGGAGGUAGAAAGAUAGGAAGACAGGCAGGUUCACCGGCAUAAAUACGAGUGAAUGUGUUGAGGAAUGGGUAUAAAGGGAAUGAAAGGCAACAGGAGAGCCUACUUUUAAAAUAGAAAGGAAGAGAAUGUGUGCACAUCAAUGCAAUGCUGUGCACUACAGCAACAACCCACAUGUCAAGUAGCAGGGCAAUGCAAGGGUGUUCAACACAGUCUGAACAAUUAUUCUCUCCGCCAACAAGAUGCAAUUCAGUGCAGUCAAGUGUGGUUUUUAAGCCACACCAAAAUGAGGGCAGUCAAAUAAAAGACCUCGGAUCAUUAUCUCGCAGUCUCAGAAGUUUAUGGUUAACAUUGAGAUCUGUUUCUUGCAAGAUCACUACUAUAUUGGCCUCGAACAACUAUUGAACAAACAUAGCCCUAAGAGGGCCAAGGUGAUGCAGUUUUUGGAAUCAUCUAACAUUGAGUGGCAUUUCUUUUUUCCUUCCAGGUACGACGGUCACCUGGAGGCCCAGGAGUCAUCAGGACAAAUAACUCUGAAUAUAUAUAUAAAUGAUAUCUAAUGUGUUUGUGAUGACGGAGCAAUUAUGUCAAAAUGAAACACAUAUUUAAAAAUGUUUUUUUCUCUUGUUAGCAAUGUAUUCAUAAAAAACUUCACUUGGAUCUCUCUGCAUUCACCCAACCACUGCGGCAUGUAUACAGAGUGUGCUCCGCAAGACAAAAGAUUUUUUAUGUUGCUUGGCUCCCAAAAGAGUUCUUCAAUUCAAAUACGUACAAGGUGUGUUCGAAAAGAAACCAAACUUUUGCUUUAACAUCUUUAUUGCUUAUUGUACAACAUUUUAUGCAUGGCCCCUUCAAAGUAGUCCCCUCUUCUGGCAAUACAUUGUUCCUAUCAUCUCAUCCAUUUUUUGAAAGCCUCCUGGAACACUUUUUCUGGGAUGGCGCGUAGGUCUCGUGUCGCAUUGUCUUGAAAUUUCUUUUAUGGGUUGGAAACGAUGUCCUUUCAACGUGAUUUUAUGUUCGGGAAACAGGAAAAAGGCUUCUUGGGCUAGGUCUGGAAAGUACGGUGGAUGGGGCACGAGAGUGUGAUGUUUUGCUAGAUAGCCGCAGACAAGGAGAGACGCGUGAACUAGGUCAUUGUCAUGUUGCAACAAUUAAGUCUGGGUUUCCCACAAUUCAGGCUUCCUACUGGACACAGCAUCCCACAAACGCGCUAGAAUUCCUUGGUAGACCGCCUUGUUUACCAUCUCACCACGUGGUACAAAUUCCUGAUGGACUAUAUCUUUCCAGUCGGAAACCACCACCAUUACCUUGAUUUUUUUGCUGACUCCUGCGUGCUUUUUUGGACGAGAAGACUGUUCGCCCACCCACUGCGACGACUGCACUUUUGUUUCAAUAUCAGAGCCAUAAACCCACGUCUCAUUGCCUGUUGUGAUGUUACAGAAGUUUUCAUUAUCUCUGCCAGUGGCAUGCAGUUCCCGGCUUAUUUCAACACAGGUGUUUCUGAUCAACAGUCAAGAAACGCGGCACGAAUUUUGCACUGACACGAUGCAUCUCAAGUUUGUCAUUCACAAUAGGAUGCCAUGAUCCUAUGCUGAUGCCCAUUUCGUCAGCUAGUUCUCAAACAGCUAAACGACGAUUUCCACGAAUCACAGCACGCACUCUCUCGACAUGGUCAUCAUCUGUUAAUGUGGAAGGUCGUCCAGGCUUGGGAUCGUCACCAACCGACAUUCUGCCUUGUUCAACAUGCUUAAACUACUCAUAGCACUGAGUGCGACUCAUACAGUUUUCCCCAUAUGCUUGGUUGGGCAAUUGAAAUGUCUCUGUGAAAAUUUUGCCAAGUUUGUAGCAAAAUUUCACACACACACGUUCUUCUACAUCCUCUUUCGUUGUUACUUUGGCACUAAUCCAACAAACAGCUUGUACACGUGCGCACUUCGGCGGCAGUAGCUCACCAACCAAUGGUCAGAGCAAAACGCGGUAAAUGGCAGUUUGUUGUCUAAACCCGCUGCUACAUGCGUUCAGUAGCCGCAGCGUGCUCUUUGCCGGUUUGCGUGCUAUUUCAAAAGUUUGGUUUCUUUUUGAACACACCUUGCACAUUUUCAUGCAGCACUUUCAUUCUUUCUUUUUUUCAUUCUAGUCAUGGAUAGCUAUUUUUCAUUAAAGCUGGGAGCACUUAGCUGUCUAAAUUCCUCAUUAGAUAACUUAUCUAUAGAAAAUGUGGCCUUACAGUAAGUUUAGUACAUAUGUGUGUUCUGUUCCUCAUGUUGUAGUUAUCUGCUAUUUUAUGUAGUUUUGGUUAUAAACAAAACUUUCUUUAAUGAACAAGAAAACGGUAAACUGAAAGGCCCAACUCUUGUUGGUCGCAACUGCAGGAAGUACGUGCAAGUUAAUGCGUUAUGCUUGUUUCACAUUUUAAAAGCUGCAGGCACUAACACUGCCUAUCUGCUUUUGUAUUUCCUGUAGCAGUGUGGCUUUUAUUUGUUACUGUCAGAGCUGGGUAUAUAAGUCCCCAUUCUGUGUUGAAAACCUACAGUGAAACUAUGCUGGACACUUUUCACUUUGUUGUGUUGUAAAUAAAUCAUUCUCUUUUGAAAAA
Molecule: long non-coding RNA, 3802 nt
Organism: Dermacentor silvarum
Lineage: Eukaryota; Metazoa; Arthropoda; Arachnida; Ixodida; Ixodidae
Exons: 2
Source: RefSeq, a predicted model, not a curated record